UCAAAGAUUAAGCCAUGCAUGUCUAAGUAUAAACAACUUGUAUUUGUGAAACUGCGAACGGCUCAUUAAAUCAGUUAAUAUUUAUUUGAUAAUGAUUUUACUACAUGGAUAGCCGUAGUAAUUCUAGAGCUAAUACAUGCGUAUAAGUUUGACUCCGUGAGGGGAAGAACUGUAUUUAUUAGAUCGAAAAACAAAGGAGCGUGUGCAUUCGAUUAACCUCGAGUGUGUGCGUUCCAUAAUGAUGAAUCAUAAUAACUUUGUCGAAUCAUUGGGUCACCCCUUUGAUGUGUCAUUUGAAUUUCUGCCCUAUCAACUUGUGAUGGUAGGAUAGAGGCCUACCAUGGUUUUGACGGGUAACGGGGAAUUAGGGUUCGAUUCCGGAGAGGGAGCCUGAGAAAUGGCUACUACUUCUAAGGAAGGCAGCAGGCGCGCAAAUUACCCAAUCCCAAUAAUUUUGGGGAGGUAGUGACAAAAAAUAUCGAUUCGAGCGGACUAUGUCCGUAUCGAAAUUGGAAUGAUUCACCAGUAAAUGAGGUGGAGAGAAACAAUUAGAGGGCAAGUCUGGUGCCAGCAGCCGCGGUAAUUCCAGCUCUAAUAGUGUAUACUAAAAUUGCUGCAGUUAAAAAGCUCGUAGUUGAAUUUGUUGCUGAGUAUGUAGGGUGAAAUUCUUUAUUACAUUGAUCUAUACCUGUAACUUGGUGUAGUCAUGUGGUGGAGAUGCAUUCUUGACUCAGUGUUUGUAAUGUUUUUCGAAGGAUGGUGAGGCACUUUAUUGGGCUUUCACUGUAAUUCGGAGAGUUUACUUUGAAGAAAAUGGAGUGUUCAAAGCAGGUUUAUAAAAAGCGCAACUGAACACAUUAGCAUGGAAUAAUAAAAUAGGACACUUGGUUAUUGUGUGGUAAAACGCACAGUAACUUUCCUCCAUUGGGGGAAAUUCUAUUUUGUUGGUUUAUAGUGCAAGUGUAAUGAUUAAUAGGGACAGUUGGGGACAUUCGUAUUGCAUCGUCAGAGGUGAAAUUCUUGGAUUGAUGCAAGACGAACGAGUGCGAAAGCAUUUGGCAAGGAUGUUUUCAUUAAUCAAGAACGAAAGUUAGGGGAUCGAAGGCGAUCAGAAACCGCCCUAGUCUUAACUAUAAACGAUGCCAACUAGGGAUUGGGGGGAGGAGAUUGUAUUAUAUCUUCUCACGUUUAUAAAAGCAUAAGUGUUGGCAACAAUACUUGGCUAUUUGCCUCGUCAGGACCUGAUGAGAAAUCAUAAGUCUUUGGGUUCUGGGGGGAGUAUGGUCACAAGGCUGAAACUUAAAGAAAUUGACGGAAGAGCACCACCAGGUGUGGAGCCUGCGGCUUAAUUUGACUCAACACGGGAAAACUUACCAGGUCCAGACACGGGGAGGAUUGACAGAUUGAGAGUUUUUUCUUGAUUUCGUGGGUGGUGGUGCAUGGUCGUUCUUAGUUGGUGGAGCGAUUUGUCUGCUUAAUUGCGAUAACGAACGAGACCUCAACCUGCUAACUAAGCUUUUUUUAAUGUAAGAUUUCUUACGUUUUCUACAACAAAGCUUCUUAGAGGGACAACCGUCUUCUAGAUGGGGGAAGCAUGAGGCAAUAACAGGUCUGUGAUGCCCUUAGAUGUCCUGGGCCGCACGCGCGCUACACUGAUGAAAUCAACAAGUUUGAAAUUCACGGUUUUCGUGAUUUUCCUGAUCCGAGAGGAUUGGGUAAUCUUUUGAAUUUUCAUCGUGAUGGGGAUUGAUGUUUGUAAUUAUGGAUCAUGAACGAGGAAUACCUAGUAAGUGCAAGUCAUCAGCUUGCGCUGAUUACGUCCCUGCCCUUUGUACACACCGCCCGUCGCUCCUACCGAUUGAAUGAUAAGAUGAAAUGUUCGGAUUGAGGGGUCGCAUCAAUUUAAGAAUGGUGUUAAAGCCAUUUGGACGUGAUCUCACUAGAAGAACAGUAAAUCUUCUUAUUUAGA
RNAcentral lists this ribosomal RNA (1969 nucleotides) under Polymastigidae sp. PoOxB. Its description in RNAcentral is "SSU rRNA". It matches the Rfam family "Eukaryotic small subunit ribosomal RNA". Lineage: Eukaryota; Preaxostyla; Oxymonadida; Polymastigidae. The record is from RNAcentral.